RNAcentral lists this ribosomal RNA (439 nucleotides) under uncultured soil bacterium. Its description in RNAcentral is "bacterial SSU rRNA". It matches the Rfam family "Bacterial small subunit ribosomal RNA", at positions 62 to 519 of the family's 1533-position model. The record is from RNAcentral.
UCGAACGGAUCAGUAGCAAUACUGGUUAGUGGCGAACGGUCGCGUAACACGUAGGCAACCUGCCCAAAAGUGGGGGACAACAGUUCGAAAGGACUGCUAAUACCGCAUAUUAUUGUUUAUCGGCAUCGAUUUACAAUCAAAGCAUUUAUGCGCUUUUGAAUGGGCUUGCGGCCUAUCAGGUAGUUGGUGGGGUAAUGGCCUACCAAGCCGACGACGGGUAGCUGGUCUGAGAGGACGAUCAGCCGGAUUGGGACUGAGAUACGGCCCAGACUCCUACGGGGGGCAGCAAUUAGGAAUCUUGCACAAUGGGGGAAACCCUGAUGCAGCGACGUCGCGUGAGGGAUGACGGCCUUCGGGUUGUAAACCUCUUUAGUGGGGGAAGAAGAAUGUGACGGUACCCCAAAAAUAAGCCCCGGCUAACUACGUGCCAGCAGCCGCG